GGAGCGGCCGAUGUCUGAUUAGCUAGUUGGUGGGGUAAAGGCCCACCAAGGCGACGAUCAGUAGCUGGUCUGAGAGGACGAUCAGCCACACUGGGACUGAGACACGGCCCAGACUCCUACGGGAGGCAGCAGUGGGGAAUUUUGGACAAUGGGCGAAAGCCUGAUCCAGCAAAGGCGCGUGUGUGAAGAAGGCCUUCGGGUGUAAAGCUUAUGGUCCGGAAAGAAAUGGCUCUGGUUAAUACCGAGGUCGAUGAC
Molecule: ribosomal RNA, 255 nt
Filed under: uncultured bacterium
Lineage: Bacteria
Description: partial 16S ribosomal RNA
Rfam family: Bacterial small subunit ribosomal RNA
Source: RNAcentral